This 614-nucleotide long non-coding RNA is filed under the name Cercocebus atys (sooty mangabey). Its description in RNAcentral is "lncRNA (ENSCATG00000045821.1)". Lineage: Eukaryota; Metazoa; Chordata; Mammalia; Primates; Cercopithecidae. The record is from RNAcentral.
CAAGCAGGCACAGAAUUUGACGCCUGGAGAGGCAGCUGGUCCUGGCUAGGACUCCUGAUUCUUCUCAGAUGGAAACAAUUUCUCCCGGUGAACCUGCCGGAAUUCCCAGUGGACUCGCACUUCAGCUUUGCCCACUGGCGCAUUUAACCAAGGCCGCAUUUACCGCUUUGAGGCAAAUCUGAGUUUCAAAUGGAGCGGGACUUCUGGUUGCAGAAUGAGCCUCUCCAGGACAGUGUUGCAUAGAACUGGUUUUAGUAGACCUUCUUGUUUCAUGUGCAAUAACAAGAAAAAAGCUCGAAGGGAAGGAUUUCUACAUUUCACUAUAAAAUAUUUACUAAUUGGAAAAUACUACUUCACAGAACUGGAAAAGAACUACUCUAAAGUUCAUAUGGAACCAAAAAAGAGCCUGCACAGCCAAGACAAUCCUAAGCAAAAAGAACAAAGCUGGAGGCAUCACACUACCUGACUUCAAACUAUACUACAAGGCUACAAUAACAAAAACAGCAUGGUACUGGUGCCAAAGCAGUUAUAUAGACCAAUGGAACAGAACAGAGGCCUCAGAAAUAACACCACACAUCUACAACUGUCUGAUCUUUGACAAAUCUGACAAAAAC